Molecule: ribosomal RNA, 437 nt
Filed under: uncultured bacterium
Lineage: Bacteria
Description: bacterial SSU rRNA
Rfam family: Bacterial small subunit ribosomal RNA
Source: RNAcentral
GACGAACGCUGGCGGUGUGCUUCACACAUGCAAGUCGAACGAGGUAGCAAUACCUAGUGGCGGACGGGUGAGUAACGCGUGGGAAUCUGCCUUUAGAUGGGGGGAUAACGGGUCGAAAGACUCGCUAAUACCGCAUAUGACGAAAGUUGAAAGGAGUAAUCCGUCUAAAGAUGAGCCCGNGUCCGAUUAGCUAGUUGGUAGAGUAAAAGCCUACCAAGGCGACGAUCGGUAGCUGGUCUGAGAGGAUGAUCAGCCACGAUAGGGACUGAGACACGGCCCAUACUCCUACGGGAGGCAGCAGUGGGGAAUUUUACGCAAUGGGCGAAAGCCUGACGUAGCGACACCGCGUGAGCGAAGAAGCCCCUUGGGGUGUAAGCUCUGUCAGCUGGACGAAAAAAAUGACGGUACCAGCAGAGGAAGCAUCGGCUAACUACGUG